This 500-nucleotide ribosomal RNA is filed under the name uncultured bacterium. RNAcentral's name for it is "partial 16S ribosomal RNA". It matches the Rfam family "Bacterial small subunit ribosomal RNA", at positions 30 to 523 of the family's 1533-position model. The record is from RNAcentral.
AUUGAACGCUGGCGGCAGGCUUAACACAUGCAAGUCGAGCGGAGUGAUGGUGCUUGCACUAUCACUUAGCGGCGGACGGGUGAGUAAUGCUUAGGAAUCUGCCAUUUAGUGGGGGACAACAUUCCGAAAGGAAUGCUAAUACCGCAUACGUCCUACGGGAGAAAGCAGGGGAUCUUCGGACCUUGCGCUAAAUGAUGAGCCUAGGUCGGAUUAGCUAGUUGGUGAGGUAAUGGCUCACCAAGGCGACGAUCCGUAACUGGUCUGAGAGGAUGAUCAGUCACACUGGAACUGAGACACGGUCCAGACUCCUACGGGAGGCAGCAGUGGGGAAUAUUGGACAAUGGGCGAAAGCCUGAUCCAGCCAUGCCGCGUGUGUGAAGAAGGUCUUCGGAUUGUAAAGCACUUUAAGUUGGGAGGAAGGGCAGUAAGUUAAUACCUUGCUGUUUUGACGUUACCGACAGAAUAAGCACCGGCUAACUCUGUGCCAGCCGCCGCCGUAA